UCCUCUUCAUCCUUCAUGGUUGAAUACUUUAGGGUUAAUUUUGUUUUUUGGGGGACGAGGGUUUGAUGUGAGAUGAUAGAAUUCUAGCGUGCAGAAGUCGUUUCGAGAGCAAUUGGUGGGUGAUCGCAGAAGCGGAGCUCCGUUAUCGCCAGGAUUAGGGUGUGAAACCGGCAUGCAGCUGUGAAUAGUUGGGAAGUAGGGAGGGGAGGGUGAUGGUCAUGAAAGGGGUGGUAUGCGACGAUGUGAUCCACUAGCUGGAGACUGGCGUCGUACCCAUUGGACAAGACAGGAAACGGAAUCAGGUUGGAUGGGAGGAGGGGGAAGUACAAGGACAAGAAGAGUCGGUGCGAUUUAUGCGCCGUUCAGCGAUACGUCCUGGCUAGCGUCAUUUUUACAUUCAUUUUUUGGGUUGGUUAUAAGAUCUGGACGAGCGAUUGAAUACCUUUGAGGCAUUUCUCGUAAAGUUUCUUUCAGUAGCGUUCUGUUGUUAGUUGGUGAGUUUUGUUCCUCCCCCCGGAGAAGUUCAUUUCCUUCACUCUUCCUUACACUGCGGUUUCUUACAGUCAGACACAGUGAGGAUGAAAAUUUUCACAUGCAGAUCGCAGGUGCAGAUGAUGGAGGAUCAAACUCAAAAGCAUGACUUCUCACACAGAUACACACAAAUUCGGAGUCCCAGAUUUCUAUUAUGUACUUGUGGUUGUAUCUUUUUGCUGAUUUUGGGUUUGAUUCUGAGACAUUGUCCCCAGGUUAUUGCUUGAUUGAGGUUUCCACCGAAGUCUUCAUGUUAUAAGCUCAAAACAAGUAUGUUUCUGCUUCACAUUCCUCCAUGAAUUGCUAAUGUGUUGCCAUAUUCUGAAAAGUUGUGUGCAUGUGAUGUGCUGUCUUGACGAGGGUGGCUCUUCUGAUAACCUUGUGUGCACUAGUGGCAACACCUUUGCUUAGACAGUCCAGGAUUUCAAGUAUUUCAGGCUUUUUUGAUAUUUAGUAAUGUGCUUAGACCCCAGCAGAGUUGGUUCUAAGUUCGUUAAGAGUGUGAUGAUGUAUUAUUAUUAGUUAUUAUUGAUUAUUGUAGACCAUAAGCUUAGGCCACUUUCGACCUUCAAGGCUAGCAAGGAUGUCUUGAACUGUCACGCAACACGUCAUAUGUAUGCUUUUCCAUGAGAUACCAUCUUUGCCGAAACAAUACUAUAAUUGUUCUUGUCAAGAAAUUUUAAUUUGAAAUUGUUUUCAACGUCA
Non-coding RNA from Physcomitrium patens, 1236 nucleotides. Lineage: Eukaryota; Viridiplantae; Streptophyta; Bryopsida; Funariales; Funariaceae. The record is from RefSeq and is a predicted model, not a curated record.